UGAAAGAGGAUUAGUUCUAAGGGAAGUGAG
Molecule: non-coding RNA, 30 nt
Filed under: Mus musculus (house mouse)
Lineage: Eukaryota; Metazoa; Chordata; Mammalia; Rodentia; Muridae
Source: RNAcentral